CUUGGGCAUUAAGAUUUAAAAAGAUACUUUAAUGAAUCAAGUCGCACUUCUACAAGGACAAAAAGGAAUGGUCCCAAUCUUUUAUACUUAUGGGUUCUAUAAUUUAGUCCCAUACCACCAACCACAAACAUAGGUAGGAAAAGUAAUCCAUGCACCCACUUUUUGACACCCCAUAAUCUCGUGCUUUCUCAACUAACAACAUGUAGGGACCAUCUACGGUGG
Molecule: long non-coding RNA, 222 nt
Filed under: Elaeis guineensis (African oil palm)
Lineage: Eukaryota; Viridiplantae; Streptophyta; Magnoliopsida; Arecales; Arecaceae
Description: long non-coding RNA (EGUI_LNC025660)
Source: RNAcentral